RNAcentral lists this long non-coding RNA (289 nucleotides) under Brassica napus (rape). Its description in RNAcentral is "long non-coding RNA (BNAP_LNC017365)". The record is from RNAcentral. Lineage: Eukaryota; Viridiplantae; Streptophyta; Magnoliopsida; Brassicales; Brassicaceae.
UUUAGAGUUAAAUGGUGGGAUUUAGGAUUUAGGAUUUAGGGUUUAGGGUUUAGAGUUUAGGGUUUAGGGUUUAGAGUUUAGGGUUUAGGUUUUAGGGUUUAGGAUUUAGGGUUUAGAGUUUAGGGUUUAGGGUUUAGAGUGUAGGGUUUAGAGUUUAGAGUUUAGGGUUUAGGGUUUAGAGUUGAGAAAUGAGGUUUUGGGGAUAAGAUUUCAAAUUUUGAAAAAUAAAAAAAUUUAAAUUUUCAAAGGUUAAACUUAGAAAGGUGCUAUUUUGGUCAUUUUAGUUUUU